AAAAUGCACCUGAAUUACACAAAACACGGAGGGACUUUCUUUAAAACACUACAUUUCCAGCCACGAAAAGGAACUAAAGUAUUUUCAGAUGUCAUUUUAGAAAAUCAGGAUGCUUUAUGUGGAUACGUUUUCAUAAGGCUGAGAAGAUGAAUCUGACUGAGAUAAACAGGUACGAUUAAGACUUCAUAUUUACUCCGUGUGUGAAUGGUUUUAAUAUUUG
Thalassophryne amazonica is the source of this 220-nucleotide long non-coding RNA. RefSeq lists it as uncharacterized. The transcript has 3 exons. The record is from RefSeq and is a predicted model, not a curated record. Lineage: Eukaryota; Metazoa; Chordata; Actinopteri; Batrachoidiformes; Batrachoididae.